CGGCCGGCCCGAGUUGGCGGCAGCGCUGGAGGCCCCGGGCCUGUGACCACAAAGAGGGAGCCGGGGGCCGGACGGGAGUGCGUCGGCGGAGGCUUAGACCCAGGCCAGGCCCUCUCCCCUCAGCCUCCACGCCUGCCCGUCUGCCCCGCCCCCGCCGGCGGCGCCGCGCCCCUCCGCCAACCGCCAGACUAGCGCGGUGCGGGGGCCGCGCGCGAAGACAUCCGGGAGAAGCUGAGGCUGGAGUCGCUCGUGGGGACCGAGCCCGCCGUCUACCCGUGGCCGCUGCCGGUGGUCUACAGUUGCUGGACCGCUACCUGCAUAAGAACCGGGAAGAGUAAGACCAGGAACACACGUGGAAGAAGAAGAAAGAGAUGAUAAAGUAAAGCCUGGUCACCUCCAGG
Delphinapterus leucas (beluga whale) is the source of this 401-nucleotide non-coding RNA. NCBI's taxonomy places the organism in Eukaryota, Metazoa, Chordata, Mammalia, Artiodactyla, Monodontidae. The record is from RefSeq and is a predicted model, not a curated record.